GACGAACGCUGGCGGCGUGCUUAACACAUGCAAGUCGAACGGAAAGGCUCCAGCUUGCUGGAGUACUCGAGUGGCGAACGGGUGAGUAACACGUGGGUGAUCUGCCCUGCACCUCGGGAUAAGCCUGGGAAACUGGGUCUAAUACCGGAUAGGACCGCACUUUGGUGUGUGUGGUGGAAAGGUUUUUCUGGUGUGGGAUGAGCUCGCGGCCUAUCAGUUUGUUGGUGGGGUAAUGGCCUACCAAGACGGCGACGGGUAGCCGGCCUGAGAGGGUGGACGGUCACAUUGGGACUGAGAUACGGCCCAGACUCCUACGGGAGGCAGCAGUGGGGAAUAUUGCACAAUGGGGGAAACCCUGAUGCAGCGACGCCGCGUGGGGGAUGAAGGCCUUCGGGUUGUAAACUCCUUUCGCUAGGGACGAAGCUUUUUGUGACGGUACCUGGAGAAGAAGCACCGGCUAACUACGUG
This 468-nucleotide ribosomal RNA is filed under the name uncultured bacterium. RNAcentral describes it as "partial 16S ribosomal RNA". It matches the Rfam family "Bacterial small subunit ribosomal RNA", at positions 28 to 507 of the family's 1533-position model. The record is from RNAcentral.